Molecule: ribosomal RNA, 440 nt
Filed under: uncultured bacterium
Lineage: Bacteria
Description: bacterial SSU rRNA
Rfam family: Bacterial small subunit ribosomal RNA
Source: RNAcentral
AGAGUUUGAUCCUGGCUCAGAGCGAACGCUGGCGGCGUGCUUAACACAUGCAAGUCGAGUGCGCAGUCUUCUGUAGCAAUACAGGAGAUCGGCGCACGGCGCACGGGUGCGUAACACGUGGGUAACCUGCCCUCCAAAGGGGGAUAACCCGCCGAAAGGCGGGCUAAUACCGCAUGACAUUCCGGUGGCUUCGGCCGCUGGAAUCAAAGCCCGCAAGGGCGUUGGAGGAGGGGCCCGCGGCCGAUUAGCUUGUUGGCGAGGUAACGGCUCACCAAGGCUUUGAUCGGUAGCCGGUCUGAGAGGAUGGCCGGCCACACUGGAACUGAGACACGGUCCAGACUCCUACGGGAGGCAGCAGUGGGGAAUCUUGCGCAAUGGGCGAAAGCCUGACGCAGCGACGCCGCGUGGGGGAUGAAGCUUCUCGGAGUGUAAACCCCUUU